Molecule: ribosomal RNA, 274 nt
Filed under: uncultured bacterium
Lineage: Bacteria
Description: partial 16S ribosomal RNA
Rfam family: Bacterial small subunit ribosomal RNA
Source: RNAcentral
AUACUUAGGGUGCAAGCGUUAAUCGGAAUUACUGGGCGUAAAGCGCUCGUAGGCGGCUUGUAAAGUCGGAUGUGAAAUCCCCGGGCUCAACCUGGGAACUGCAUUCGAUACUGGCAGGCUAGGGUAUAGUAGAGGCAAGUGGAAUUUCGGGUGUAGCGGUGAAAUGCGUAGAUAUCUGAAGGAACAUCAGUGGCGAAGGCGACUUGCUGGACUAAUACUGACGCUCAGGAGCGAAAGCGUGGGGAGCAAACAGGAUUAGAAACCCCGGUAGUCC